UGGUGGAGUGAUUUGUCUGGUUAAUUCCGAUAACGAACGAGACUCUGUCCUGCUAACUAGGUUGUGUUUUCUCGGGUUGGUGUUUCUGGUGUUCCUUCUCGGGGCGCCGGCCCAAUCCACUUGUGAACACAACACUCUUCUUAGAGGGACUGGCGGCUGUCAGCCGCACGAGAUAGAGCAAUAACA
RNAcentral lists this ribosomal RNA (186 nucleotides) under uncultured eukaryote. RNAcentral's name for it is "partial 18S ribosomal RNA". It matches the Rfam family "Eukaryotic small subunit ribosomal RNA", at positions 1299 to 1458 of the family's 1831-position model. The record is from RNAcentral.